GAGUAACAUACCUAUAAGACUGGGAUAACUUCGGGAAACCGGAGCUAAUACCGGAUAAUAUUUUGAACCGCAUGGUUCAAAAGUGAAAGACGGUCUUGCUGUCACUUAUAGAUGGAUCCGCGCUGCAUUAGCUAGUUGGUAAGGUAACGGCUUACCAAGGCAACGAUGCAUAGCCGACCUGAGAGGGUGAUCGGCCACACUGGAACUGAGACACGGUCCAG
Molecule: ribosomal RNA, 221 nt
Filed under: uncultured Staphylococcus sp.
Lineage: Bacteria; Bacillati; Bacillota; Bacilli; Caryophanales; Staphylococcaceae
Description: partial 16S ribosomal RNA
Rfam family: Bacterial small subunit ribosomal RNA
Source: RNAcentral